RNAcentral lists this ribosomal RNA (564 nucleotides) under uncultured crenarchaeote. RNAcentral's name for it is "bacterial SSU rRNA". It matches the Rfam family "Archaeal small subunit ribosomal RNA", at positions 908 to 1472 of the family's 1478-position model. The record is from RNAcentral. Lineage: Archaea; Thermoproteati; Thermoproteota.
GGAGUCACGCCAGAAAUCUUACCCGGAGAGACAGCAGAAUGAAGGUCAAGCUGAAGACUUUACCAGACAAGCUGAGAGGUGGUGCAUGGCCGUCGCCAGCUCGUGCCGUGAGAUGUCCUGUUAAGUCAGGUAACGAGCGAGAUCCCUGCCUCUAGUUGCCACCAUUACUCUCAGGAGUAGUGGGGCGAAUUAGCGGGACCGCCGCAGUUAAUGCGGAGGAAGGAAGGGGCCACGGCAGGUCAGUAUGCCCCGAAACUCUGGGGCCGCACGCGGGCUGCAAUGGUAGCGACAAUUGGUUUCGAAUCCGAAAGGAUGAGGUAAUCCACAAACGCUACCACAGUUAUGACUGAGGGCUGCAACUCGCCCUCACGAAUAUGGAAUCCCUAGUAACUGCGUGUCAUUAUCGCGCGGUGAAUACGUCCCUGCUCCUUGCACACACCGCCCGUCGUUUCAUUGAAGUGAGCUUUUAGCGAGGUGACGUCUGAUUGGCGUUAUCGAACUUGAGGUUCGUGACAAGGGAAAAGUCGUAACAAGGUGACCGUAGGGGAACCUGCGGUCGGAUCA